RNAcentral lists this non-coding RNA (93 nucleotides) under Desulfobacteraceae bacterium. RNAcentral's name for it is "c-di-GMP sequence". It matches the Rfam family "c-di-GMP-I riboswitch aptamer". From Rfam's summary of the family: GEMM was predicted in a large-scale screen for bacterial structured RNA regulatory elements. Genes associated with GEMM are involved in a diverse array of functions, including chemotaxis regulation, signal transduction, secretion and chitin. Lineage: Bacteria; Pseudomonadati; Thermodesulfobacteriota; Desulfobacteria; Desulfobacterales; Desulfobacteraceae. The record is from RNAcentral.
GCUCGAUAACGGCAAACCACAUCGAAAGGGUGGGACGCAAAGCCACUGGCCUGAUGCCUUUUAGUAAAAGGUUACGGCAGCAGGGUUGCCGGG